Molecule: long non-coding RNA, 734 nt
Organism: Cucurbita moschata (crookneck pumpkin)
Lineage: Eukaryota; Viridiplantae; Streptophyta; Magnoliopsida; Cucurbitales; Cucurbitaceae
Exons: 2
Source: RefSeq, a predicted model, not a curated record
UUGAAAGUUUAAAAUCUAAGUUUACCUUAAAAGUCGAUCUCUCUCAAGUUUAUUGAAGGUCUUAAAGACCAAAAUCCGAGAUGAGAGUGAAGAGAAAAAUGAUGAGGAAUAAAAGAACGGAAGAAAAAUAUAAAAGAAAAAUAAUAGAAAACUAAAAGGAUCGUCAAGGUAAAUCCCUGGAGGGUAAUUUGGUCAUUAUACCUCCUUUUUAGUAACAUAGGAAUAAAAGAGAAAAAGGAAAAAAAAAAAUAAAGGGGAAAAGGAAGAGAAGGAGAAAGUGCGGAAAGAAAAGAAUGUAAAUAGUGAGAGAGAAAAUUAUAGAGAGAGAAGGAAAGUUCUAGAGAGAGAGGGAGGUAACCGCCGCUCCGGCCACGAGGAGUCCGGUUCCGGCCGAGCCUUCAUGAAAUCUUCACAGAACUUAGAGAAGAACAUUCUUAACUUUUAGAUCGUCCAAAACCAUCCAGAAACGAGGAAAAAAAUCUAAAGAGGAUUACGCUCAAAAUCUGUGAAGAAAUUUGGCCGAGACCUCAACCCAAAGGCGGAGAUCCGAGGGUCAUCCGAGAACGGUGAGCGAACUUCCGGCGUUCUUAAAUCCUCCAUAGUCAAGAAAAAAAAAAUUAUAAAAAGAAUACUAGGAAUCAUAUUGAUCCGAUCUACGGAUCGAAAGAUAUGAAAAUCGGAAAAACAAAACCGACUGGGUUUCGGUUUUCAGAGGACAGAGAAGAAGAAGAGGA